This 452-nucleotide ribosomal RNA is filed under the name uncultured soil bacterium. Its description in RNAcentral is "bacterial SSU rRNA". It matches the Rfam family "Bacterial small subunit ribosomal RNA", at positions 26 to 479 of the family's 1533-position model. The record is from RNAcentral.
AGGACGAACGCUGGCGGCGCGCUUAACGCAUGCAAGUCGAACGAGAUCCAUCCAGUAGCAAUACUGGUGAAGAUCGAGUGGCGAACGGGUGAGUAUCACGUGAGGAACCCACCCCGGGAGACCGGGAUAACCCUCCGAAAGGAGAGCUAAUACCGGAUGUCCUCAUCGGAUCGCAUGUUCUGAUGAGGAAAUGGAUUCCGCUCCGGGACGCUUCGCGGCCUAUCAGCUAGUUGGUGAGGUAACGGCCCACAAGGCGACGACGGGUAGCUGGUCUGAGAGGACGAUCAGCCACACUGGGACUGAGACACGGCCCAGACUCCUACGGGAGGCAGCAGGCGGGGAAUAGUUGCACAAUGGGACGAAAGCCUGAUGCAGCGACGCCGGCGGUGGGGAUGGAAGGCUCGUCGGUUACGUAACCCCCUUGACGCGAGGACGAAAUCGAAGACGGUACC